This 465-nucleotide ribosomal RNA is filed under the name uncultured bacterium. Its description in RNAcentral is "partial 16S ribosomal RNA". It matches the Rfam family "Bacterial small subunit ribosomal RNA", at positions 338 to 795 of the family's 1533-position model. The record is from RNAcentral.
CCUACGGGUGGCAGCAGUAGGGAAUCUUCCACAAUGGGCGAAAGCCUGAUGGAGCAACGCCGCGUGGGUGAAGAAGGUCUUCGGAUCGUAAAACUCUGUUGUUAGAGAAGAAAGUGCGUGAGAGUAACUGUUCACGUUUCGACGGUAUCUAACCAGAAAGCCACGGCUAACUACGUGCCAGCAGCCGCGGUAAUACGUAGGUGGCAAGCGUUAUCCGGAUUUAUUGGGCGUAAAGGGAACGCAGGCGGUCUUUUAAGUCUGAUGUGAAAGCCGUCGGCUUAACCGGAGUAGUGCAUUGGAAACUGGGAGGCUUGAGUGCAGAAGAGGUGAGUGGAACUCCAUGUGUAGCGGUGAAAUGCGUAGAUAUAUGGAAGAACACCAGUGGCGAAAGCGGCUCUCUGGUCUGUAACUGACGCUGAGGUUCGAAAGCGUGGGUAGCAAACAGGAUUAGAUACCCGUGUAGUC